RNAcentral lists this ribosomal RNA (457 nucleotides) under uncultured bacterium. RNAcentral's name for it is "partial 16S ribosomal RNA". It matches the Rfam family "Bacterial small subunit ribosomal RNA", at positions 338 to 795 of the family's 1533-position model. The record is from RNAcentral.
CCUACGGGUGGCUGCAGUGGGGAAUAUUGCACAAUGGGGGAAACCCUGAUGCAGCGACGCCGCGUGAGUGAAGAAGUAUUUCGGUAUGUAAAGCUCUAUCAGCAGGGAAGAAAUAGCGACCUUUGGGUCGCCAGACGGUACCUGAUUAAGAAGCCCCGGCUAACUACGUGCCAGCAGCCGCGGUAAUACGUAGGGGGCAAGCGUUAUCCGGAUUUACUGGGUGUAAAGGGAGCGUAGACGGCAGCGCAGGUCUGAAGUGAAAUGCCGGGGCUUAACCCCGGCGAGCCGUUGAAACUGGCUGUCUUGAGAUGUCGAGAGGUAUGCGGAAUGCGCAGUGUAGCGGUGAAAUGCUUAGAUAUUGCGCAGAACUCCGAUUGCGAAGGCAGCAUACCGGCGGCGAUCUGACGCUGAGGCACGAAAGCGUGGGUAUCGAACAGGAUUAGAUACCCCGGUAGUC